UAUGUAUAACAUUCCAAAUUGAAAAUUUGGGAUGUUACAGACUCACGGGAAGAUAUCACAACACAACUCUAGACACAAAUCAAAAUAAUACAAGCAUUAUAUUACAAGCCAGGGGCCUCGUGGGCUCGAAUACAAGCUCGAUACACAAGAGUCAGCGGAAGAAACAAUAUCUGAGUACAGACAUAAGUUAAACAAGGAUGCCUUAAUAAGGCUAGCGCAAAAGCAACACAAUCAAAGAGGCAAGGCCUCCUGCCUGGGACCUCCUAACUACUCCUGGACGUCGGUGGUCUUCACGUAGUAGCAUCCAUCGGCGGUGGCAUCUGGCUCCAAGGAUCCACCAUCCGGUUGCAUCAGUCGGAAAGAAGAAAGAAGGGGGAAAUGGGUAGCAAAGCAACCGUGAGUACUCAUCCAAAGUACUCACAAGCAUCAGAUCUAUACUAAGUAUGCAUUUGUAUCAAAUGGAAGGGUUGUAUCUGUGGACUGAACUGCAGUAUACCAGAAUAGAGGGGGAAAGCCUAGCCUAUCAAAGACUAGCAUCUUCACGCAGCUCCAAGCAUCUUGCAGCAUGUAGAAGAGUAAAGAAUAGCAGUUUAUAAUUAACAAACAUGUUGUAACAUUAAUGCCCAGAGAUCCUUCCUCGACUCCCUGCGAGAAAGCAAUCCCGGAGCCACAUAUCCAAGUAUCCAUUUAUAGUUGUAUAAGAUCAGGAUAUAGGUCUGAAUGUCCGUUACCGUGGACACGGCUAUUAAUAGAUAAUCUCCCCUGCAGGGGUGCACCAUGUUUGCCAACAUGCUCGAUCACGUUGGCCGGACACACCUUUCUGAGGUCAAUGCCCGGCCUCGGAAGAUCAACAUGUCGCAGCCCUACCUAGGCUCAGCAGAGAGGUCCCCGCCGGUCUACAUCCUAAGCACUCCGGGGUCUGGGCCCAUCGCCUGUUGCACUCCGGAUCGUUGCGUACAGGGCGGGUCCAGGCUCCACCACUACAGGAUGGUGCCGGCCCAGCUGUGCCGCAUCGCUGAACUGGACGUCUGACAAAGCUUCGGCUGAUAAUGCGACGUCGAGGCCCAUAAUUAUUCUCACGUGGUCGUUGGUGCGUAAAGGCCAGAGGCCAACUCAGAACAAAUACCCAAACCAUAGUGUAUUAUUAGCUUGCGGAGACGAGCAGAGACUCCCAAUCGAAAGUGACCCCGUCGCCCCAUCUCGUGGACUUACGACAAGGGCCUAGAAUGCCCGGCCGUGCCACGUAACCAUCUUGCGGGUGCUCUCCGGGCCCGCCCAACUUUCACCAAGGUCUCAAGUAAAGUCAAGGUAACUGUGUGUCCAGACAUCAAGGGGAAAACCCAAGGAAUCACCCCCGGUGGAUUCCACUCAAUGUAAUCAUCAAGGUGAACAUAAGAGAGACCACCCUCGAGGUUCACACUUGAGGUGUUGAACGACAGAUCCGUAUCGGGAAUGGUGAAAGAGGAAAUCACCCUCGAUGACCAUGACCGAAUAGCUACACUACAGAAUUGUCAUCAAGAGUGUGUUAUGAGGGAUCACCCUCGACACUCGAUAGUAGCUCCGCAGAGUCGAGCAACAAAAGGGGCGUGAUGUGAUGUGAGGUGUCGGGCUCUGGUUGUCGAUCACGCUGAUCAAGGCGUUGAUGAUGAAGCAGGGGCAACAAGGACAAGUGGGGGUCACUGAUGGAUCACUAACCAACCGAUACUAAGUAAUUUACGAUAAGCAGGUAGGGUACAACAUCAGGUACAAAAGCAGGCUAUGCAUCAGAAUAGGAGCAAUCAAUAACAGUAGCAAAAUCUAAUGCAAGCAUGAGAGAAUAGAAAUAGGUGAUAUCGGGAUGAUCAAAGGGGGGGGGGCUUGCCUGGUUGCUCAGACAAGAAGUAGGGUCGUCGUCGACUUAGUCGAUCACAGGGG
RNAcentral lists this long non-coding RNA (1914 nucleotides) under Triticum aestivum (bread wheat). RNAcentral's name for it is "long non-coding RNA (TAES_LNC003177)". The record is from RNAcentral. Lineage: Eukaryota; Viridiplantae; Streptophyta; Magnoliopsida; Poales; Poaceae.